CCUACGGGAGGCAGCAGUGGGGAAUAUUGGACAAUGGGCGCAAGCCUGAUCCAGCCAUGCCGCGUGAGUGAAGAAGGCCUUAGGGUUGUAAAGCUCUUUCAGCGGGGACGAUAAUGACGGUACCCGCAGAAGAAGCCCCGGCUAACUCCGUGCCAGCAGCCGCGGUAAUACGGAGGGGGCUAGCGUUGUUCGGAAUUACUGGGCGUAAAGGGUGCGUAGGCGGCCCUACAAGUCAGACGUGAAAGGCCUGGGCUCAACCCGGGAACUGCGUUUGAGACUGUGGGGCUGGAGUCCGGGAGAGGUGAGCGGAAUUCCCAGUGUAGAGGUGAAAUUCGUAGAUAUUGGGAAGAACACCGGUGGCGAAGGCGGCUCACUGGACCGGUACUGACGCUGAGGCACGAAAGCGUGGGGAGCAAACAGGAUUAGAUACCCGGGUAGUC
Molecule: ribosomal RNA, 440 nt
Filed under: uncultured bacterium
Lineage: Bacteria
Description: bacterial SSU rRNA
Rfam family: Bacterial small subunit ribosomal RNA
Source: RNAcentral